GAUGAACGCUGGCGGCGUGCUUAACACAUGCAAGUCGAACGGAAAGGCCUCAGCUUGCUGGGGUACUCGAGUGGCGAACGGGUGAGUAACACGUGGGUGAUCUGCCCUGCACUUUGGGAUAAGCUUGGGAAACUGGGUCUAAUACCGAAUAUGACCACUUCUUGGAUGUUGUGGUGGAAAGCUUUUGCGGUGGGGGAUGAGCCUGCGGCCUAUCAGCUUGUUGGUGGGGUAAUGGCCUACCAAGGCGGCGACGGGUAUCCGGCCUGAGAGGGUGUACGGACACGUUGGGACUGAGAUACGGCCCAGACUCCUACGGGAGGCAGCAGUGGGGAAUAUUGCACAAUGGGCGCAAGCCUGAUGCAGCGACGCCGCGUGGGGGAUGAAGGCCUUCGGGUUGUAAACUCCUUUCGCUAUCGACGAAGCCACUUGUGGUGACGGUAGGUAGAUAAGAAGCACCGGCUAACUACGUGCCAGCAGCCGCCGUAA
RNAcentral lists this ribosomal RNA (486 nucleotides) under uncultured bacterium. RNAcentral describes it as "partial 16S ribosomal RNA". It matches the Rfam family "Bacterial small subunit ribosomal RNA", at positions 28 to 523 of the family's 1533-position model. The record is from RNAcentral.